UUAAGCGACUAAGCGUACACGGUGGAUGCCCUGGCAGUCAGAGGCGAUGAAGGACGUGCUAAUCUGCGAUAAGCGCCGGUAAGGUGAUAUGAACCGUUAUAACCGGCGAUUUCCGAAUGGGGAAACCCAGUGUGACUCGUCACACUAUCAUUAACUGAAUCCAUAGGUUAAUGAGGCGAACCGGGGGAACUGAAACAUCUAAGUACCCCGAGGAAAAGAAAUCAACCGAGAUUCCCCCAGUAGCGGCGAGCGAACGGGGAGGAGCCCAGAGCCUGAAUCAGCAUGUGUGUUAGUGGAAGCGUCUGGAAAGGCGCGCGAUACAGGGUGACAGCCCCGUACACAAAAGCGCAUGUGCUGUGAGCUCGAUGAGUAGGGCGGGACACGUGGUAUCCUGUCUGAAUAUGGGGGGACCAUCCUCCAAGGCUAAAUACUCCUGACUGACCGAUAGUGAACCAGUACCGUGAGGGAAAGGCGAAAAGAACCCCGGCGAGGGGAGUGAAAAAGAACCUGAAACCGUGUACGUACAAGCAGUGGGAGCACCCUUUGGGGUGUGACUGCGUACCUUUUGUAUAAUGGGUCAGCGACUUAUAUUCUGUAGCAAGGUUAACCGAAUAGGGGAGCCGGAGGGAAACCGAGUCUUAAUUGGGCGUUAAGUUGCAGGGUAUAGACCCGAAACCCGGUGAUCUAGCCAUGGGCAGGUUGAAGGUUGGGUAACACUAACUGGAGGACCGAACCGACUAAUGUUGAAAAAUUAGCGGAUGACCUGUGGCUGGGGGUGAAAGGCCAAUCAAACCGGGAGAUAGCUGGUUCUCCCCGAAAGCUAUUUAGGUAGCGCCUCGUGAAUUCAUCUCCGGGGGUAGAGCACUGUUUCGGCUAGGGGGCCAUCCCGGCUUACCAACCCGAUGCAAACUGCGAAUACCGGAGAAUGUUAUCACGGGAGACACACGGCGGGUGCUAACGUCCGUCGUGAAGAGGGAAACAACCCAGACCGCCAGCUAAGGUCCCAAAGUCAUGGUUAAGUGGGAAACGAUGUGGGAAGGCCCAGACAGCCAGGAUGUUGGCUUAGAAGCAGCCAUCAUUUAAAGAAAGCGUAAUAGCUCACUGGUCGAGUCGGCCUGCGCGGAAGAUGUAACGGGGCUAAACCAUGCACCGAAGCUGCGGCAGCGACGCUGAUGCGUUGUUGGGUAGGGGAGCGUUCUGUAAGCCUGCGAAGGUGGCCUGUGAGGGUUGCUGGAGGUAUCAGAAGUGCGAAUGCUGACAUAAGUAACGAUAAAGCGGGUGAAAAGCCCGCUCGCCGGAAGACCAAGGGUUCCUGUCCAACGUUAAUCGGGGCAGGGUGAGUCGACCCCUAAGGCGAGGCCGAAAGGCGUAGUCGAUGGGAAACGGGUUAAUAUUCCCGUACUUGGUGUUACUGCGAAGGGGGGACGGAGAAGGCUAUGUUGGCCGGGCGACGGUUGUCCCGGUUUAAGCGUGUAGGUGUGUGUUCCAGGUAAAUCCGGUUCACUUUAACACUGAGGCGUGAUGACGAGGCACUACGGUGCUGAAGCAACAAAUGCCCUGCUUCCAGGAAAAGCCUCUAAGCAUCAGGUAACAUCAAAUCGUACCCCAAACCGACACAGGUGGUCAGGUAGAGAAUACCAAGGCGCUUGAGAGAACUCGGGUGAAGGAACUAGGCAAAAUGGUGCCGUAACUUCGGGAGAAGGCACGCUGACACGUAGGUGAAGUGAUUUACUCAUGGAGCUGAAGUCAGUCGAAGAUACCAGCUGGCUGCAACUGUUUAUUAAAAACACAGCACUGUGCAAACACGAAAGUGGACGUAUACGGUGUGACGCCUGCCCGGUGCCGGAAGGUUAAUUGAUGGGGUCAGCGCAAGCGAAGCUCCUGAUCGAAGCCCCGGUAAACGGCGGCCGUAACUAUAACGGUCCUAAGGUAGCGAAAUUCCUUGUCGGGUAAGUUCCGACCUGCACGAAUGGCGUAAUGAUGGCCAGGCUGUCUCCACCCGAGACUCAGUGAAAUUGAACUCGCUGUGAAGAUGCAGUGUACCCGCGGCAAGACGGAAAGACCCCGUGAACCUUUACUAUAGCUUGACACUGAACAUUGAGCCUUGAUGUGUAGGAUAGGUGGGAGGCUUUGAAGUGUGGACGCCAGUCUGCAUGGAGCCGACCUUGAAAUACCACCCUUUAAUGUUUGAUGUUCUAACGUGGACCCGUGAUCCGGGUUGCGGACAGUGUCUGGUGGGUAGUUUGACUGGGGCGGUCUCCUCCUAAAGAGUAACGGAGGAGCACGAAGGUUGGCUAAUCCUGGUCGGACAUCAGGAGGUUAGUGCAAUGGCAUAAGCCAGCUUGACUGCGAGCGUGACGGCGCGAGCAGGUGCGAAAGCAGGUCAUAGUGAUCCGGUGGUUCUGAAUGGAAGGGCCAUCGCUCAACGGAUAAAAGGUACUCCGGGGAUAACAGGCUGAUACCGCCCAAGAGUUCAUAUCGACGGCGGUGUUUGGCACCUCGAUGUCGGCUCAUCACAUCCUGGGGCUGAAGUAGGUCCCAAGGGUAUGGCUGUUCGCCAUUUAAAGUGGUACGCGAGCUGGGUUUAGAACGUCGUGAGACAGUUCGGUCCCUAUCUGCCGUGGGCGCUGGAGAACUGAGGGGGGCUGCUCCUAGUACGAGAGGACCGGAGUGGACGCAUCACUGGUGUUCGGGUUGUCAUGCCAAUGGCACUGCCCGGUAGCUAAAUGCGGAAGAGAUAAGUGCUGAAAGCAUCUAAGCACGAAACUUGCCCCGAGAUGAGUUCUCCCUGAGACUUAGAGUCUCCUGAAGGAACGUUGAAGACGACGACGUUGAUAGGCCGGGUGUGUAAGCGCAGCGAUGCGUUGAGCUAACCGGUACUAAUGAACCGUGAGGCUUAACCUU
This 2904-nucleotide ribosomal RNA is filed under the name Salmonella enterica subsp. enterica serovar Bredeney. RNAcentral describes it as "bacterial LSU rRNA". It matches the Rfam family "Bacterial large subunit ribosomal RNA". Lineage: Bacteria; Pseudomonadati; Pseudomonadota; Gammaproteobacteria; Enterobacterales; Enterobacteriaceae. The record is from RNAcentral.